CAUAGUGAUCCGGUGGUUCUGAAUGGAAGGGCCAUCGCUCAACGGAUAAAAGGUACUCCGGGGAUAACAGGCUGAUACCGCCCAAGAGUUCAUAUCGACGGCGGUGUUUGGCACCUCGAUGUCGGCUCAUCACAUCCUGGGGCUGAAGUAGGUCCCAAGGGUAUGGCUGUUCGCCAUUUAAAGUGGUACGCGAGCUGGGUUUAGAACGUCGUGAGACAGUUCGGUCCCUAUCUGCCGUGGGCGCUGGAGAACUGAGGGGGGCUGCUCCUAGUACGAGAGGACCGGAGUGGACGCAUCACUGGUGUUCGGGUUGUCAUGCCAAUGGCACUGCCCGGUAGCUAAAUGCGGAAGAGAUAAGUGCUGAAAGCAUCUAAGCACGAAACUUGCCCCGAGAUGAGUUCUCCCUGAGACUUAGAGUCUCCUGAAGGAACGUUGAAGACGACGACGUUGAUAGGCCGGGUGUGUAAGCGCAGCGAUGCGUUGAGCUAACCGGUACUAAUGAACCGUGAGG
Molecule: ribosomal RNA, 511 nt
Filed under: Salmonella enterica
Lineage: Bacteria; Pseudomonadati; Pseudomonadota; Gammaproteobacteria; Enterobacterales; Enterobacteriaceae
Also listed under: 1 other name
Description: partial 23S ribosomal RNA
Rfam family: Bacterial large subunit ribosomal RNA
Source: RNAcentral